GAGACCAAACCGCAAGAGUCAAAAAAGGGUUUGGGCCGAAAAUGCUUCCUUAUCUCCUGGGCCACUCUCUAGAUGAUGUGGGCCUUCCUCUUCUUUACUGGACUGGCCUUCGGUUGUGCCCUCGAUUGUACCCCCCUCACACGAUGCUGGAAUCGAAGAGACUGUUUCUUGGGACAAUGAAACGCUGCCGCUUUUGUAAAAUUGCUUUUCGUCAUCCUCGAUAAUAGCAUCUGCCGGCCCCGUUGAGACCUCCUCCGAAGACCAAUCGGAGUCCGAUUCCGUCCUCUCCUCCUCCACCUGACAUCUGACGCAGAGAUUGGGUGCAUCUCUGACCUCCUCGACACGAAUUUUGAAACACGUCCCCUCGAUCACGCAAUCCAAAAGUCUGUCGCAUAAAUGGAGGCCCGUGUCAACCUGAAUGAAGGCUUCAUCGAACUUUUCCUUUGUCGCGGUACCUUCAUGAAUUUUACGAACCACACCAAAGCUAGCACAUGCAUCGUUGAAGAACCGAGGAUUCCAUGCAUGUAAAGGCACACCCACCCAUUUGGUCCAGACUACUCUUUGAUGCGAAACAUCGCCAAU
Molecule: long non-coding RNA, 582 nt
Filed under: Salvia miltiorrhiza (redroot sage)
Lineage: Eukaryota; Viridiplantae; Streptophyta; Magnoliopsida; Lamiales; Lamiaceae
Description: long non-coding RNA (SMIL_LNC003585)
Source: RNAcentral